This 2089-nucleotide ribosomal RNA is filed under the name Cronobacter sakazakii. Its description in RNAcentral is "partial 23S ribosomal RNA". It matches the Rfam family "Bacterial large subunit ribosomal RNA", at positions 728 to 2801 of the family's 2925-position model. The record is from RNAcentral. Lineage: Bacteria; Pseudomonadati; Pseudomonadota; Gammaproteobacteria; Enterobacterales; Enterobacteriaceae.
AUCUAGCCAUGGGCAGGUUGAAGGUUGGGUAACACUAACUGGAGGACCGAACCGACUAAUGUUGAAAAAUUAGCGGAUGACCUGUGGCUGGGGGUGAAAGGCCAAUCAAACCGGGAGAUAGCUGGUUCUCCCCGAAAGCUAUUUAGGUAGCGCCUCGUGAACUCAUCUCCGGGGGUAGAGCACUGUUUCGGCUAGGGGGCCAUCCCGGCUUACCAACCCGAUGCAAACUGCGAAUACCGGAGAAUGUUAUCACGGGAGACACACGGCGGGUGCUAACGUCCGUCGUGAAGAGGGAAACAACCCAGACCGCCAGCUAAGGUCCCAAAGUCAUGGUUAAGUGGGAAACGAUGUGGGAAGGCCCAGACAGCCAGGAUGUUGGCUUAGAAGCAGCCAUCAUUUAAAGAAAGCGUAAUAGCUCACUGGUCGAGUCGGCCUGCGCGGAAGAUGUAACGGGGCUAAACCAUGCACCGAAGCUGCGGCAGCGACACUAUGUGUUGUUGGGUAGGGGAGCGUUCUGUAAGCCUGUGAAGGUGUGCUGUGAGGCAUGCUGGAGGUAUCAGAAGUGCGAAUGCUGACAUAAGUAACGAUAAAGCGGGUGAAAAGCCCGCUCGCCGGAAGACCAAGGGUUCCUGUCCAACGUUAAUCGGGGCAGGGUGAGUCGACCCCUAAGGCGAGGCCGAAAGGCGUAGUCGAUGGGAAACAGGUUAAUAUUCCUGUACUUGGUGUUACUGCGAAGGGGGGACGGAGAAGGCUAUGUCGGCCGGGCGACGGUUGUCCCGGUUUAAGCGUGUAGGCUGACUUUCCAGGCAAAUCCGGAAAGUUAAGGCUGAGGCGUGAUGACGAGGCACCACGGUGCUGAAGUGACAAAUGCCCUGCUUCCAGGAAAAGCCUCUAAGCAUCAGGUAACAUCAAAUCGUACCCCAAACCGACACAGGUGGUCAGGUAGAGAAUACCAAGGCGCUUGAGAGAACUCGGGUGAAGGAACUAGGCAAAAUGGUGCCGUAACUUCGGGAGAAGGCACGCUGACAUGUAGGUGAAGCCCCUGCGGGUGGAGCUGAAGUCAGUCGAAGAUACCAGCUGGCUGCAACUGUUUAUUAAAAACACAGCACUGUGCAAACACGAAAGUGGACGUAUACGGUGUGACGCCUGCCCGGUGCCGGAAGGUUAAUUGAUGGGGUUAUCGCAAGAGAAGCUCCUGAUCGAAGCCCCGGUAAACGGCGGCCGUAACUAUAACGGUCCUAAGGUAGCGAAAUUCCUUGUCGGGUAAGUUCCGACCUGCACGAAUGGCGUAAUGAUGGCCAGGCUGUCUCCACCCGAGACUCAGUGAAAUUGAACUCGCUGUGAAGAUGCAGUGUACCCGCGGCAAGACGGAAAGACCCCGUGAACCUUUACUACAGCUUGACACUGAACAUUGAGCCUUGAUGUGUAGGAUAGGUGGGAGGCUUUGAAGCGUGGACGCCAGUCUGCGUGGAGCCGACCUUGAAAUACCACCCUUUAAUGUUUGAUGUUCUAACCUGGCGCCGUGAUCCGGCGUGGGGACAGUGUCUGGUGGGUAGUUUGACUGGGGCGGUCUCCUCCCAAAGUGUAACGGAGGAGCACGAAGGUCAGCUAAUCCUGGUCGGACAUCAGGAGGUUAGUGCAAUGGCAUAAGCUGGCUUGACUGCGAGAGUGACGGCUCGAGCAGGUGCGAAAGCAGGUCAUAGUGAUCCGGUGGUUCUGUAUGGAAGGGCCAUCGCUCAACGGAUAAAAGGUACUCCGGGGAUAACAGGCUGAUACCGCCCAAGAGUUCAUAUCGACGGCGGUGUUUGGCACCUCGAUGUCGGCUCAUCACAUCCUGGGGCUGAAGUAGGUCCCAAGGGUAUGGCUGUUCGCCAUUUAAAGUGGUACGCGAGCUGGGUUUAGAACGUCGUGAGACAGUUCGGUCCCUAUCUGCCGUGGGCGCUGGAGAAUUGAGGGGGGCUGCUCCCAGUACGAGAGGACCGGAGUGGACGCAUCACUGGUGUUCGGGUUGUCAUGCCAAUGGCACUGCCCGGUAGCUAAAUGCGGAAGAGAUAAGUGCUGAAAGCAUCUAAGCACGAAACUUGCCCCG